RNAcentral lists this unclassified non-coding RNA (1966 nucleotides) under uncultured fungus. Its description in RNAcentral is "sequence contains 18S rRNA gene, ITS1, 5.8S rRNA gene, ITS2, 28S rRNA gene". The stretch from base 859 to 1966 matches the Rfam family "Eukaryotic large subunit ribosomal RNA", at positions 1 to 961 of the family's 3401-position model. Lineage: Eukaryota; Fungi. The record is from RNAcentral.
GGAGGGAUCAUUAAAAUUCACUGCUACUUUAGUAGUGGGUCGACUAACAUUCAUGUUUUUUUUUAACCUUGGGAUGGGUAACCCUAGCAAGGUUUUGAGUAACUGUUGUGAGACAGUUAUACAACCAAUUAAAAUCCCGAAAGGGCGUUUGGGUUUAGUGCGCGAGCAUCAUCCCAUUGUUUAUCCCGAAAGGGCGUUUGGGUUUAGUGCGAACAUCAUCCCGUUAUCCCGAAAGGGCGUUUGGGUUUAGUGCGCGAGCAUCAUCCCAUUGUUUAUCCCGAAAGGGCGUUCGGGUUUAGUGCGAGCAUCAUCCCGUUGUUUAUCCCGAAAGGGCGUUUGGGUUUAGUGCGAACAUCAUCCCGUUAUCCCGAAAGGGCGUUUGGGUUUAGUGCGCGAGCAUCAUCCCAUUGUUUAUCCCGAAAGGGCGUUCGGGUUUAGUGCGAGCAUCAUCCCGUUGUUUAUCCCGAAAGGGCGUUAGGGUUUAGUGUGAAAACAUCAUCCCUUUACCAUUUUUAAUGGUCGAACACCUGUCGACGGGGGAUAUCUAGGUUCCCACAACGAUGACGAGCGCAGUAAACUGCGAUAACAAAUGUGAAUUGCAGAACUCCGUGAAUCAUUUAGGACUUGAACGCAACUUGCCCCUCACCGUCAAGGCUGAGGUGGGACCAGUUGAGCGCCAUUUAAAACAUAAUCCCGAAAGGGCGAUUGGGUUGGUAAAUCCUCCAUCCUUAAAUAACGGCUUUUAGGCGUAGGUAGCAAGAUUUAGCUACCCUAAUUGAUUAAAGUUAUCAUCCGUUCGGUGGUUGGGGUUUUUUAUCGAACGGGUGGCAACAUUUGCGUCGAAUUUAGUAGACGAACUGGCCUCAAACUAGUCCGGACUACCCACUGAACUUAAGCAUAUCAUUAUGUGGAGGAAAAGAAACCAACAGGGAUUCCCUUAGUAAGGGCGACUGAACAGGGAAAAGCUCAAACUUAAAAUCGGCCUGGGCCAAAACCCUCGUCCGAAUUGUAGUUUUGCGAAUGGAUUCUGGUGAAGUCACUGAUCUAAGUCCUCUGGAACGAGGUGCCAUAGAAGGUAACAGCCCUGUGAGGUUGGUGAUCGACCCUUAUGUUUCCAUUUCAAGGAGUCAGGCUAUUUGAGAGCAUAGCCUAAAGCGGGUGGUAAGCUCCAUCCAAAGCUAAAUAUCAGUGGGAGACCGAUAGCGAACAAGUACCGCGAGGGAAAGAUGAAAAAGACUCUGAAAAGAGAGUUAAAAGUAUUUGAAACCGUCGACAGUGAAGCGGAAGUGCCCUCCACUCCGUGGCGUGUGAAUCAGCGAGUUGCUGGGCUCCGAUCCUGGUUAUACGGCCGUUAAUUUGGCUGGGCGGCCGGGCGUUGGGGUUUGGUUUCUUGCGCACUUCACAGGCCUUAGGAUGCAACUGGUUUGUGUGAUCAAAUUGGGCGGUUGUGGAUGGUAAUCGGCUUGCCGGUGAAUACUGCAGCCCAACCCUAACUGUAUUGCAUAAAUUUAGGCUACGUGGCCUACCUCAUCUUUGCCAAGGGGUGACUUGGUUAGUGGAAGGUUGGCGUUGUCUCGCAAGGGAUGGUGUCGGCCCAAGCUAAUUGGGGAACUCACUAGGGUGGGGUUUUUGUUGUAUUGGGGGACCCUUCUGUCCCGUCUUGAAACACGGACCAAGGAGUGUUGAUUGCAUGCAAGUCUAAGGGGCGUUAAACCCUGGAGGCGUAGCGAAAGCAUUACGUGUGAUGGGGUAAAACCUUGCAACACGAACCAAUAAUGACACAGAGUGAAUAUAUUGAGUUUUAGCAUGCAGUCAACGACCCGAAAGACCGCGAACUAUACCUGCAUAGGGUGAAGCCAGAAGAAAUUCUGGUGGAGGCCCGUAGCGGUUCUGACGUGCAAAUCGAUCGUCAAAUGUGGGUAUAGCGGCGAAAGACUAAUCGAGCGGUCUAGUAGCUGGUUCCCUC